RNAcentral lists this ribosomal RNA (429 nucleotides) under Actinomycetes bacterium. RNAcentral describes it as "Actinobacteria bacterium partial 16S ribosomal RNA". It matches the Rfam family "Bacterial small subunit ribosomal RNA", at positions 355 to 776 of the family's 1533-position model. Lineage: Bacteria; Bacillati; Actinomycetota; Actinomycetes. The record is from RNAcentral.
UAGGGAAUCUUCCGCAAUGGGCGAAAGCCUGACGGAGCAACGCCGCGUGAGUGAUGAAGGUCUUCGGAUCGUAAAACUCUGUUAUUAGGGAAGAACAAAUGUGUAAGUAACUAUGCACGUCUUGACGGUACCUAAUCAGAAAGCCACGGCUAACUACGUGCCAGCAGCCGCGGUAAUACGUAGGUGGCAAGCGUUAUCCGGAAUUAUUGGGCGUAAAGCGCGCGUAGGCGGUUGUUUAAGUCUGAUGUGAAAGCCCACGGCUCAACCGUGGAAGGUCAUUGGAAACUGGAAAACUUGAGUGCAGAAGAAGAAAGUGGAAUUCCAUGUGUAGCGGUGAAAUGCGCAGAGAUAUGGAGGAACACCAGUGGCGAAGGCGACUUUCUGGUCUGUAACUGACGCUGAUGUGCGAAAGCGGGGGGAUCAAACAGG